Panicum virgatum (switchgrass) is the source of this 1089-nucleotide long non-coding RNA. RefSeq lists it as uncharacterized. The record is from RefSeq and is a predicted model, not a curated record. The transcript has 2 exons. Lineage: Eukaryota; Viridiplantae; Streptophyta; Magnoliopsida; Poales; Poaceae.
CUUCCGCUGCGAGCGGCCACACACGACGCGAACCCGAGCAGGAGGCAGGCAGGCAGGGGCUGCACUGCUGCAGGCCGGGCGCCAUCAAGCAGCAAGCAUGCUGGAGCUCCUGCUGGCGGGGUGCAGCAGUGUGGUGGUGCUCCUCCACGGCGCCAGCCUCUUCCUCCGCGCGCUCUUCGCCCCGCGCCACGCCGUCGCCAGGCCCAUCAGCUUCCUCGGGUUCGUGGCCUGACCGACGGAUCCGGUGAGGGGUCCCGGCCGAGGUGCGGGGAUCGUCGCCGACGGAUUAAGGGGAUCGCCGGUGUAAGUUCCGGAACAGAGCCCCUCGACCGAUGCAGAUAGCCUUGCUGGUCGUGUUCCUGUGGAUUGUGAGAAACACGAGUGCUCACUACGCGUGUAAGUUGCCCAAGUUACACCACAUCAACGAACUGUGCCCACAAGUUUAUUAGCUCGUGCAUCUCCCCUUGGUGCAACCUACCAAUUCCUUGACAGAAUAUCGUGCCUCAUUUGCAUGGCAUCGCCUACAUCCAGUGCAGCGCGCGCGCUACUGGCAAGUUCAGUAGAGUACAGCCGAAGAGCCAGGUCGGUGAUCUUCGAUCUGCGCACCAGCUCCACGGCGCGCAGAGUUUGGGUGCCUCGACGGCUCGAUGGAACCGGAUCCGCUGCAGUUACCCCCCCUGCAGUUGGGUCACUGCCACGUGGGCCCCACGCGUGCAGACCCCACACGCAGUGACUCUGCACGGCGGCCAACUGCAGCGGAGCCUCGUCCCGGCUCGACGGCCUGGCGGAUGGCACCGGUGUGACCUUUUGCCGAGGACUGGUGGACAGCCGCUGUUGGGUUGUGAACUUGUGAAUUGUGAUACCAACCCGCGGCGGGAGUUGCGCGCGGGUGCGGUGGAUUGGUUUAAUUGGUGAUGAGAUAGUGACCGGCAGCAGCUACGUGACCGCAACAACUCGACUAGUUCGUUGCACCGGCCGGCUGCCGGCCGGGUACGCGACUCCCUAAUCCCUUUUAUUUUACUGAGAAAUAUGCACAUGCAUUGCUAUAGAAAGAUAUAUAAAUAUACUGAUUCACAUAUAAAAAUUAUA